RNAcentral lists this ribosomal RNA (656 nucleotides) under Microbacterium sp. RNAcentral's name for it is "bacterial SSU rRNA". It matches the Rfam family "Bacterial small subunit ribosomal RNA", at positions 90 to 759 of the family's 1533-position model. The record is from RNAcentral. Lineage: Bacteria; Bacillati; Actinomycetota; Actinomycetes; Micrococcales; Microbacteriaceae.
GAUUAGUGGCGAACGGGUGAGUAACACGUGAGCAACCUGCCCCUGACUCUGGGAUAAGCGCUGGAAACGGCGUCUAAUACUGGAUAUGUCCCGUCACCGCAUGGUGUGCGGGUGGAAAGAUUUUUCGGUUGGGGAUGGGCUCGCGGCCUAUCAGCUUGUUGGUGAGGUAAUGGCUCACCAAGGCGUCGACGGGUAGCCGGCCUGAGAGGGUGACCGGCCACACUGGGACUGAGACACGGCCCAGACUCCUACGGGAGGCAGCAGUGGGGAAUAUUGCACAAUGGGCGGAAGCCUGAUGCAGCAACGCCGCGUGAGGGAUGACGGCCUUCGGGUUGUAAACCUCUUUUAGCAGGGAAGAAGCGAAAGUGACGGUACCUGCAGAAAAAGCACCGGCUAACUACGUGCCAGCAGCCGCGGUAAUACGUAGGGUGCAAGCGUUAUCCGGAAUUAUUGGGCGUAAAGAGCUCGUAGGCGGUCUGUCGCGUCUGCUGUGAAAUUCCGAGGCUCAACCUCGGGCUUGCAGUGGGUACGGGCAGACUAGAGUGCGGUAGGGGAGAUUGGAAUUCCUGGUGUAGCGGUGGAAUGCGCAGAUAUCAGGAGGAACACCGAUGGCGAAGGCAGAUCUCUGGGCCGUAACUGACGCUGAGGAGCGAAAG